AGUGAUUAAUGCCAUCUCCCUGUCGCCUGGGGAGAGGGUGAUGUUUGACUUUCUCGUACAGCUGCAGUUUGUGUGGUGAAGGUGCUCCCACAAUGGGGUUGGGAUGAGGCUGUCACUGGCUCGGCCAGCAUUUAUUUCUGCGUUUACCCAGAGGGCAGUUAAGAAUCAACCACGUUGCUAUAGGUCUGGAGUCCCAUGCAGACCAGACCAGAUACCAGUGAUCAGUGCCAAAGCCCCAUUGCCUGUGGAGA
Molecule: long non-coding RNA, 251 nt
Organism: Hemiscyllium ocellatum (epaulette shark)
Lineage: Eukaryota; Metazoa; Chordata; Chondrichthyes; Orectolobiformes; Hemiscylliidae
Exons: 3
Source: RefSeq, a predicted model, not a curated record